GUCCCGUUGGCGGAGUGGUUAACGCGGCGCCCUGCUAAGGCGUUUCCUUCUGGGAGCGCAGGUUCGAAUCCUGUGCGGGACG
This is a transfer RNA of Rhizoclosmatium globosum, 82 nucleotides long. It matches the Rfam family "tRNA". From Rfam's summary of the family: Transfer RNA (tRNA) molecules are approximately 80 nucleotides in length. Their secondary structure includes four short double-helical elements and three loops (D, anti-codon, and T loops). NCBI's taxonomy places the organism in Eukaryota, Fungi, Chytridiomycota, Chytridiomycetes, Chytridiales, Chytriomycetaceae. The record is from Rfam.